UUAGGCAAGUUGUAAAGUCUUUGUAACUAGAGAGUUACAAAGUGACUUCUAAUAGAGUUAUUAUUUAGAGUGAAAAUACUUUAUUACUGUAGAGUGACAAAGUGGAUUAUGGUGAGAGCAUCACAAGUUAGUUAAAAUCCUUUGUAACUAGGGAGUCAGAAAGUAGCCUGUGGUAAGAGUACCACAAGUUAGUUGAAGUCUUUGUAAUAAAGUUAUUGCAAAGUGGCUUGUAAGGUUUACAAGUUAGUGAGGUUAAAAGCUUAUAAGUGUAGGUCGUGGUUUUUGGCCCCUUGAGUUGGGAAUUUUCCACAUAAAAAUUCUCGAUGUUCUUUACUUACUGCCAAGCUACUGCGAGAACCACUAGAGAACCUGAUUCUCUAUACUGGUUGAUUUUACAGUCUGUUGCUUUCAGUGAGAACCUAUAGAGAAUAUUGUUCUCUACACAAUGUGAACAUAUCUUUCAUUUACAUACUGUUUCAUUUGUUAGCAAUGCGGGAAUAAUAUAGGACCAAAUCGCUAUACAACUUGGUUCAUUAGUAUUUUCAGUGGAAACUCAUAGAGAACCCGGUUCUCUAUACAGUCUGGUGGACACAUAGUUUUCUAACAGUUCUAUUAAAGAAUCAUAUUGCCCUGCUUUCUAGGUGAGUAGUAGCAUCCUUUAGACAUUAUCUCUAGUGUAAGUAGUUGAGAAUGCAUAAUCGUUCAUUUAUCCCUAUAAGCAUGCUUUCUAGACGGGUGAUAGUAUCCUAUAGGUAGGGUUUCUAAUAUUUGACAAUUAGACAUGGUUUUGUAACACUUUAUCCUUAUAGGCAUAUCAAGAUUAGGAAGUAUAACGUAAAAUAAUAGAAACAACUGAUUAAUUAGUUAACCCUAUAGUCAUGGUAUCUAGAUGAGUAUACCAAAGGCAAGUAUUAUUGUAUCCUAUAGCCAUUUUGUCUAUUAAGCAAAGCGUUUGAUCCCUAUAACCAUGGUAUCUAAUGCAUUCAGUAGUACAUACGUCAAUAAGUACAACAAUUACUUAAACCAACAUGCUUUGAAUAAAGUACCAGUGUCAGACAAAUUAAGUGAAGUGUGUACGAUCAUUAUAGACAUGAUUUCUAUCAGUGUACGACACAUGAAACUAAAUAACAUAUAGGACAUGUUGAACAAAAUAGCAAAUAGAUCACGUAGACCCUAUAUGCAUGUUUUAUACCCAU
This 1196-nucleotide long non-coding RNA is filed under the name Nicotiana benthamiana. Its description in RNAcentral is "long non-coding RNA (NBEN_LNC004001)". The record is from RNAcentral. Lineage: Eukaryota; Viridiplantae; Streptophyta; Magnoliopsida; Solanales; Solanaceae.